GCUAAAUCCAACAUCUGAAUCAUCUCAGAGUUGGUCUCUGUUGUUUGUCUUUUCUCUCGAGAAAGAGUCAUAUUUUUCUAGUACUUCAAAUGGUCAAGCUAAUUUACUCCCAUGUGAGUGAGUCCAGUGUGCUUGUCGUGAAUGACAGCUGGGCCCUGAUGGAUGUCAAGUGGUUGCAAGAGCUCCAAGGCAGGAACCUUCUUCUAGGCAAAAGCAACCUAAGACGUUGUCCACAGAUGCCUACAGGAGAAAAUCCAAAUUCCUUAACAUGGGUACAUACCUCCUUCACAAGUUUGCACUGUAUCCUGCUUCAGCAUCAUUUUUUUUGCCAAACCCGACUUGCACUCCCAUUCUCCAGCCACACCAAGCUAUUUGCCAAAUGGGCCCAGUGUUUAUAAACCUCAGCCUGGAAUGUCCUUCCAUGCCCUGGUUAACGCUUACUCAUGUUACACGACCCAACUGAAGCUCUUCUUGGCCCUCCACACCUUUUUGUGGAGUGCUGUGUCUCCUGCUUUGUGGCCCUCUGUACCUGUAAAUACUUCCAU
RNAcentral lists this long non-coding RNA (545 nucleotides) under Equus caballus (horse). RNAcentral describes it as "lncRNA (ENSECAG00000044246.1)". Lineage: Eukaryota; Metazoa; Chordata; Mammalia; Perissodactyla; Equidae. The record is from RNAcentral.